This 1446-nucleotide ribosomal RNA is filed under the name Blautia wexlerae. Its description in RNAcentral is "partial 23S ribosomal RNA". It matches the Rfam family "Bacterial large subunit ribosomal RNA", at positions 175 to 1645 of the family's 2925-position model. Lineage: Bacteria; Bacillati; Bacillota; Clostridia; Lachnospirales; Lachnospiraceae. The record is from RNAcentral.
GGAAGGGAACCCGGGGAACUGAAACAUCUAAGUACCCGGAGGAAAAGAAAGAAAACUCGAUUCCGUAAGUAGCGGCGAGCGAACGCGGAGGAGCCUAAACCGGAAUGCGUGCAUUCCGGGGUUACGGACUGCAUUUAAGAUUCUUUGAAGCUAACAGAACGGUUUUGGGAAAGCCGGCCGGAGAGGGUGAAAGCCCCGUACGUGAAAGCUGAUGAGACUGAGCAGGAUCCAGAGUACCACGAGACACGUGGAACCUUGUGGGAAAUCAGGGGGACCACCCCCUAAGGCUAAAUACUACUUAGUGACCGAUAGCGCAUAGUACUGUGAAGGAAAGGUGAAAAGGACCCCGGGAGGGGAGUGAAAGAGAACCUGAAACCCUGUGUCUACAAGCUGUGGAAGUGCUUUAUAUGCACGACCGCGUACUUUUUGUAGAACGGUCCGGCGAGUUACGCUUACUGGCAAGGUUAAGCACUUCAGGUGCGGAGCCGUAGGGAAACCAAGUCUUAAGAGGGCCUUAAGUCAGUAGGAGUAGACCCGAAACCGGGUGAUCUAUCCAUGUCCAGGUUGAAGCUGCCGUAAGAGGUAGUGGAGGACCGAACCCACAUCCGUUGAAAAGGGUGGGGAUGAGGUGUGGAUAGGGGAGAAAUUCCAAUCGAACCCGGAGAUAGCUGGUUCUCCUCGAAAUAGCUUUAGGGCUAGCCUCGAUACAGAUUUGCGGAGGUAGAGCACUGAAUUUCCUAGGGGGCGUCAAAGCCUACCGAAGAAUAUCAAACUCCGAAUGCCGCGUAAUCGAUUAUCGGGAGUCAGACUGCACGAGAUAAGUUGGGCGGUCAAAAGGGAAAGAGCCCAGACCUUCAGUUAAGGUCCCCAAGUGCGCGUUAAGUGGAAAAGGAUGUGGGAUUUCGAAGACAACCAGGAUGUUGGCUCAGAAGCAGCCAUCCAUUCAAAGAGUGCGUAAUAGCUCACUGGUCGAGAGGUCCUGCGCCGAAAAUGUCCGGGGCUGAAACGCGCCACCGAAACUAAGGAACCGAAAGGUUGGUAGAGGAGCAUUGCAUGCGGGAAGAAGCAGUACCGUAAGGAGCUGUGGACUGCAUGGAAGAGAGAAUGCCGGAAUGAGUAGCGAGAAUAAGGUGGGAAUCCUUAUGGCCGAAUAUCCAAGGUUUCCAGAGUAAAGCUGAUCUGCUCUGGGUAAGUCGGGGCCUAAGGCGAGGACGAGAGUCGUAGCCGAUGGACAACAGGUGGAGAUUCCUGUACUGCGGUAUGACAGAACUGUGGGGACACGUAAGGAAAGCGGAAGCCGGGAAUGGAAAGCCCGGUGCAAGCGGGGUACCAGUCACUUUGGCAAAUCCGGGUGGCAAUGGGAAGCCGUGAUGCGGAGCGAAAUAAAGUAGCGAAGUCCGUGAGCCAUGCGUCAAGAAAAGCCGCUAUCGUUUAUACCGUACCCGU